RNAcentral lists this ribosomal RNA (465 nucleotides) under uncultured bacterium. RNAcentral describes it as "partial 16S ribosomal RNA". It matches the Rfam family "Bacterial small subunit ribosomal RNA", at positions 28 to 507 of the family's 1533-position model. The record is from RNAcentral.
GACGAACGCUGGCGGCGUGCUUAACACAUGCAAGUCGAACGGAAAGGCCCCUUUGGGGGUACUCGAGUGGCGAACGGGUGCGUAACACGUGAGUAACCUUCCCUUGACUUCGGGAUAACUUCAGGAAACUGGGGCUAAUACCGGAUAGGAAUCCUUGCUGCAUGGUGGGGGUUGGAAAGCUUCGGCGGUUUUGGAUGGACUCGCGGCCUAUCAGCUUGUUGGUGGGGUAGUGGCUUACCAAGGCUUCGACGGGUAGCCGGACUGAGAGGGCGACCGGCCACAUUGGGACUGAGAGACGGCCCAGACUCCUACGGGAGGCAGCAGUGGGGAAGAUUGCACAAUGGGCGGAAGCCGGAUGCAGCAACGCCGCGUGCGGGAUGACGGCCUUCGGGUUGUAAACCGCUUUCAGCAGGGGCGAAGCUUGUGGUGACGGUACCUGCAGAAGAAGCACCGGCUAACUACGUG